CACCAUACUAAAUUGGUUUAUCAGUAGAUUAGUUUGACCUCGUUAUUAAGACGUUAUUUGGGUCGUGGAAAAAAAAUCGAGAUAUCCCUGGUAUAAGAGGUAGCUGAGAAUUUUACUGUAACCAAAUUUUUAGUGAUAGGGGAAAUCAUAAAACGGUAAUCAAAAUGAUAUCUUGUAAUUCUAGUAUUUUUCACAGUAAUAUUUUAAACUAACAAUUAUGAAAAUACUCAACAACUCUAUACUAUUAACCUUUCGGAAAACAGAAGUAGACGUUAGUGUAAGUAUUAUCAAACCGUUCUGGCCACUAUGAAAUAUCCUCAAUGUAUAUAUCCAUCAGAAAAUUAACCAGCCAGAGUUAUUUCAUCAGUACAAACAAUGUAUAAGUCGUCAGAAAUAUCAUAUACUAGAUACCCUGAUAACUCCUUCAAACCAUACAAAACAUGCAGUGUACUUAUGACGAGUAAACUACCUGUAACAAAUACUUACAUGAACUACCAGCACCUGUAAUAUGACUCCAAGUACUACCUGGUCAGUAUCGGGUUAUAUACACAUGGCCUUAGGCUAUCUGUUGUCUAGACAACAAAAUGGGUCGACUGUACUUCCUUGAAGUUUUAUAUCAGGUGACUGGUCAGUUUUCCAGUGAUAAUUCAUUUGCUGAUCAGAUUUUGAAGAAGGCAGACCUGUUCCUUUGCACGUAUCUGGUUUUUAAGUGAAAUAUCCUAUUUUUCUUUCGAUGACCUUAUUCGUAAGCAUAUUUUUUAUGUUUGCUUCAGCUAUUAUGAAUGGAAAUGAUAAAAACUUCUACGACGCUACAAUACUGAUUUGCUAAGAGUAUUCUAUGAAGUGCGAGGAUUAUAUUUUUAACAAAGCAAUUGAAAUGCGUGACGUGCCAGGUUUUGGAGGUGGAGGAAAGCCGGA
Long non-coding RNA from Pecten maximus, 918 nucleotides. RefSeq lists it as uncharacterized. NCBI's taxonomy places the organism in Eukaryota, Metazoa, Mollusca, Bivalvia, Pectinida, Pectinidae. The record is from RefSeq and is a predicted model, not a curated record. The transcript is spliced from 3 exons.